RNAcentral lists this ribosomal RNA (357 nucleotides) under Triticum aestivum (bread wheat). RNAcentral describes it as "partial small subunit ribosomal RNA". The record is from RNAcentral. Lineage: Eukaryota; Viridiplantae; Streptophyta; Magnoliopsida; Poales; Poaceae.
AUGUUUGGUUUUUGGCCUUUUGAAUACAAGAUAUGUGUCUUCAUCUUUUUUUUGGUGACUGAUUGGCGCCGGCGCGCCGGCCCAAUGUUUUGGCCGGUCACGCCCACGUCGUCACAUGUCAGCCAUCUCGUCUAUUGGAUUAAAAAAAUGCUUUGUCCCCAAAAGCUUUUUCUUCCUCACGCAACACCCGUCGCCUUCCGCAUCUCCCGCGAAACCGCAUCUCGUGCAGCUCGCCAGUUCCGCACGCCGCGCUCUCCCGCUGCCCCUCGGUCGCAGCACCAAGCUGCCUCCCUAUCGCUCCAUGCUAGAUCUCGUUGCCGGGAUUCACGGCAACUCCUCACUGGUCGCAGUCCCUAG